UUCCUGUGCAUAAGAAAAAAAGGGAGCAUGAAGAUCAGUGACCCUCUCUCUCUUGGUUGGCCAAAUAAGAGAGAGAAGCCUAGUGAUCCUAGGCUCAGGUGGUCUUCUUUAAUUGGGUCCAAUUUGGGUUCAGACUAAAUGCAAUUUUAGUCUGAUUCGAAUCCAAUUCGAAAAGGCUAUCAACUCUGAUCUAAUCAGGAUUGUAAUCUAAGUCCUACUUGGAUAAUUAAACC
RNAcentral lists this long non-coding RNA (233 nucleotides) under Elaeis guineensis (African oil palm). RNAcentral's name for it is "long non-coding RNA (EGUI_LNC065318)". Lineage: Eukaryota; Viridiplantae; Streptophyta; Magnoliopsida; Arecales; Arecaceae. The record is from RNAcentral.